Molecule: ribosomal RNA, 397 nt
Filed under: uncultured bacterium
Lineage: Bacteria
Description: bacterial SSU rRNA
Rfam family: Bacterial small subunit ribosomal RNA
Source: RNAcentral
AUUGAACGCUGGCGGCAUGCCUUACACAUGCAAGUCGAACGGUAACGCGGGCAACCUGGCGACGAGUGGCGAACGGGUGAGUAGUGCAUCGGAACGUGCCCAAUAGUGGGGGAGUAGCCCGGCGAAAGCCGGAUUAAUACCGCAUACGACCUAUGGGUGAAAGCGGGGGAUCGCAAGACCUCGCGCUAUUGGAGCGGCCGAUGUCAGAUUAGGUAGUUGGCGGGGUAAAGGCCCACCAAGCCUGCGAUCUGUAGCUGGUCUGAGAGGACGACCAGCCACACUGGGACUGAGACACGGCCCAGACUCCUACGGGAGGCAGCAGUGGGGAAUUUUGGACAAUGGGGGUAACCCUGAUCCAGCCAUGCCGCGUGCGGGAAGAAGGCCUCGGUUGUAACGU